GUGUCAGCAGCCGCGGUAAUACGUAGGAGGCGAGCGUUAUUCGGAUUUACUGGGCGUAAAGAAGGCGUAGGCGGCCUUUCAAGUCGGAUGUGAAAUCUUCUGGCUUAACUGGAAGGGGUCAUCCGAUACUGUUGGGCUAGAGGGCAGCAGGGGGAGGUAGAAUUCCCGGUGUAGUGGUGAAAUGCGUAGAUAUCGGGAGGAAUACCAGUGGCGAAGGCGGCCUUCUAGGCUGUUUCUGACGCUGAGGCCUGAAAGUGUGGGGAGCGAACAGGAUUAGAUACCCUGGUAGUCCACACCGUAAACGAUGGACACUAGGUAUAGGGAGUAUCGACCCUCUCUGUGCCGAAGCUAACGCUUUAAGUGUCCCGCCUGGGGAGUACGGCCGCAAGGCUAAAACUCAAAUGAAUUGACGGGG
Molecule: ribosomal RNA, 415 nt
Filed under: uncultured prokaryote
Description: bacterial SSU rRNA
Rfam family: Bacterial small subunit ribosomal RNA
Source: RNAcentral